ACAGCGAGAGAGCUGUUACAACCUUGUUUUAAGAGCUGUUACAACAAGGUUGAAACAGUGGAACUGCUCGUUCAGCAGUUCAACUGCUGGAUUAUUUUUUCCUCCUAAGGAUGACCGCUUGUGUUGCGAUCGAAACGUUGUGAUCUAUUAUUUUUAUAAUAAUAGAUCACAGACACUCGCCAGUGGAGUGGACAACCUCCCGUUGCCAUGGCUACGGGGCGGCCCGUUGGGUUCCAACCGUGGACUGUCGUUACGAACCAGUGGGCCACGUGACCACCCCACGUGGUUGAACACGUGGGCCACAGUCGAGUCUUACGAGGAGGAGCAGUGCAGCCGCUCUCUGCUGUUGUGAUCGCGAUCGAACGGCAAAGAUGGAUGUGUCCAGAUGCAACCCGUACCAAGUGAUGCUCACGAUGGCGUCUUUAGUCGGAUUUGUCACUUGGCAAGGGGUGAUGGAGCCGGCCAUCUGGCUGCCACCCUCCAUACUAAAGGUGAGCGAUCACCUGGGGGUUAAUUCCCUGAUUGGAUAUCUCGAUAACCUGGGUGGCAAUGCUGCUAGUCUUGGAAAUCCCGAUGAUCUUGGUGGCAAUGCUGCUCUUCUUGGAAAUCCCGAUGAUCUUGGUGGCAAUGCUGCUCUUCUUGGAAAUCCCGAUGAUCUUGGUGGCAGUGCUGCUCUUCUUGGAAAUCCCGAUGAUCUUGGUGGCAGUGCUGCUCCUCUUGGAAAUCCCGAUGAUCUUGGUGGCAAUGUUGCUCUUCUUGGAAAUCCCGAUGAUCUUGGUGGCAAUGUUGCUCCUCUUGGAAAUCCCGAUGAUCUUGGUGGCAAUGCCCCCAUGGCAUAUGCCGACUUUGCUUCGACCGAUUUUCCGAGCCAAUCGAUACCGGACAGCAACGAGAGAGAAGACGUCCCCGCCGAGCAGAGGCCGUGCGACAUUCAACCACCGCCGGAGCCGCGAGAGCAGCACCGACAUAGCCUCUUGUCGACCGUCAUCUCCGCAAUCAGCACGGGAUUCAGUGCAGUGCAAGUGAUCGCGUGGAUUUGGGCACGCAAGAAGCCGCGUGAUGGCGGCCUGAGCCCACAAUUGGUGCGGAAGGCGUUUGUCUACAAUUCCAAGGCCCGCUAUUUCCAAAGGAGGAACCCGCGUGGGGUGAUGGUUAUCCGCACGCUUCUCGUCAGCAAGGAGGACGCUGGGAGGCCCCGCAAGAUGAAAGACUUCGCUGGCAGCGUGAUGACCGGAAGAAGACGUGUCCAAGACGGCGGUGGCCCAGCGAAGACAACGAGCCCUUGGAGUCUUCCCAGCCUGCCAAGCUGGAUUCGGCGGCAAUAGCGAAAUCGGGAUAGAACUGUUAUAAAACUGGGGGAAAAAAAAUAAUAAUAACAAAAACAUGUUCAUUUAUUAUCUACUACAAUAAAUAUUUAUUUCCGAAGAAAAUCACUUGUGAUAUUUCUUCUUGGUUGGUUCACUGCUUUAUUUACACACCUGUGUUAAAAUCCUAUGGUUUACAAUGUUUUUAAAAAUAAAACUCAUAAUUAAGGCUAUGGGGUUGUCACAGAAGCCGCGGUCAUCACGUGAGUUGUGAAUUUCAGGUCCGCUAUAACCUGGACACGACUGCAGAAAUAUUCAAUCAAGCGCUCUCGAAGUUGGACUAUCAGUAAAGAGGAGCCCUGGCAACCACGAGCAAUUGGUGAUGGUUAUCCGCACGCUUCUCGUCAGCAAGGAGGACGCUGGGAGGCCCCGCAAGAUGAAAGACUUCGCUGGCAGCAUGAUGACCGGAAGAAGACGUGUCCAAGACGGCGGUGGCCCAGCGAAGACAACGAGCCCUUGGAGUCUUCCCAGCCUGCCAAGCUGGAUUCGGCGGCAAUAGCGAAAUCGGGAUAGAACUGUUAUAAAACUGGGGGAAAAAAAAUAUAAUAAUAACAAAAACAUGUUCAUUUAUUAUCUACUACAAUAAAUAUUUAUUUCCGAA
Petromyzon marinus (sea lamprey) is the source of this 1965-nucleotide non-coding RNA. Lineage: Eukaryota; Metazoa; Chordata; Hyperoartia; Petromyzontiformes; Petromyzontidae. The record is from RefSeq and is a predicted model, not a curated record.